GGAAGUAAAAGUCGUAACAAGGUCUCCGUUGGUGAACCAGCGGAGGGAUCAUUACCGAGUUUACAACUCCCAAACCCAUGUGAACAUACCUGUCUUGUUGCUUCGGCGGCGCCCACGGCCCUCACGGGCUUGGGGCCCGCCAGAGGACCCAAACAAAACUCUUUGCAUUUUGAAUACAGUAUUCUGAGUGACAUGAUUAAAUAAAAUCAAAACUUUCAACAACGGAUCUCUUGGCUCUGGCAUCGAUGAAGAACGCAGCGAAAUGCGAUAAGUAAUGUGAAUUGCAGAAUCCAGUGAAUCAUCGAAUCUUUGAACGCACAUUGCGCCCGCCAGUAUUCUGGCGGGCAUGCCUGUUCGAGCGUCAUUUCAACCCUCAAGCUCUGCUUGGCGUUGGGGAUCGGCAGCCCGGCUUCGCGCCGCGCCGUCCCCCAAAUACAGUGGCGGUCUCGCUGCAGCUUCCUUUGCGUAGUAGCACACCUCGCACCGGAGAGCAGCGCGGCCACGCCGUAAAACCCCCGACUUCUUGUUUUUGACCUCGAAUCAGGUAGGACUACCCGCUGAACUUAAGCAUAUCAAUAAGCGGAGGA
This 587-nucleotide ribosomal RNA is filed under the name uncultured fungus. RNAcentral's name for it is "eukaryotic LSU rRNA". The stretch from base 211 to 364 matches the Rfam family "5.8S ribosomal RNA". The record is from RNAcentral. Lineage: Eukaryota; Fungi.